This 253-nucleotide ribosomal RNA is filed under the name uncultured bacterium. Its description in RNAcentral is "partial 16S ribosomal RNA". It matches the Rfam family "Bacterial small subunit ribosomal RNA", at positions 524 to 776 of the family's 1533-position model. The record is from RNAcentral. RNAcentral also lists the same sequence under 1 other name.
AACGUAGGACGCGAGCGUUAUCCGGAGUUACUGGGCGUAAAGCGCGGGCAGGCGGCGCUGCCAGUCCGAUGUGAAAGCCCCCGGCUCAACCGGGCGAGGCCAUUGGAAACUGCAGGGCUGGAGGGCAGCAGAGGUCGGCGGAAUUCCGGGUGGAGUGGUGAAAUGCGUAGAGAUCCGGAGGAACACCAGAGGCGAAGGCGGUCGACUGGGCUGCACCUGACGCUGAGCCGCGAAAGCCAGGGGAGCGAACGGG